Molecule: ribosomal RNA, 404 nt
Filed under: uncultured cyanobacterium
Lineage: Bacteria; Bacillati; Cyanobacteriota
Description: bacterial SSU rRNA
Rfam family: Bacterial small subunit ribosomal RNA
Source: RNAcentral
AAUGGGCGAAAGCCUGACGGAGCAAUACCGCGUGAGGGAGGAAGGCUCUUGGGUCGUAAACCUCUUUUCUCAGGGAAGAACACAAUGACGGUACCUGAGGAAUAAGCAUCGGCUAACUCCGUGCCAGCAGCCGCGGUAAUACGGAGGAUGCAAGCGUUAUCCGGAAUGAUUGGGCGUAAAGCGUCCGCAGGUGGCUAUGUAAGUCUGCUGUUAAAGCGUCUAGCUCAACUAGAUAAGAGCAGUGGAAACUACAAGGCUAGAGUGCGUUCGGGGCAGAGGGAAUUCCUGGUGUAGCGGUGAAAUGCGUAGAGAUCAGGAAGAACACCGGUGGCGAAGGCGCUCUGCUAGGCCGCAACUGACACUGAGGGACGAAAGCUAGGGGAGCGAAUGGGAUUAGAUACCCC